CAUUUUGAUACAGUUUCAAAAUACACUCAAAAUAAUCCAAACGUCAUUGCUACGUGAAAAAUCACGUAGAUCAUUCCGCAUUCAUUUUGCCUCCUAUUCACUUGACUAAGGUAAUAAUUACCAGAGCAUAUAUGAACUCUAAAUGGAGACCCGGUGAUUCUUACUGGGGCUACCAAUCGCACUUACGUGAAAAUCACGUAGGCAUUUGAAUUCAUUUGGUCAUCGCGUUCAUUCUCUGUUGAGCUCAGUUGUCAAAAUGGUGGUCGAUACUAAAAAGAAGCUGCUGCUGCUGGACUUCAAACUAAUUUUAAGAACAAUUCCAAGAACGUUGAUUGUUUUGAAUGGAACUGACCCUGGACAAAUUUGCGAGGAACGUGCGUUUCAUGGACUGUUCCGACGGUCCCGUCGAUCGAUAUCGCGAUGGUGGUCAGUCAGUGUUUUGAAACCAUUAAUGGAAUAUAAUAGUUUAAUCCCUUAGUUAUUUGUCCUUUUUUCAAAAUAAACACAUAAAAAAGCAUGUGCAAAACAGGAUUGAUUUCCCUGAAUUGAUUCCGAUAACUUUAAAUGAAAAUUUCCCUAGGAUCUAUUGAAAAGCUUUGUAAAAGCUACGUGAAAAAUCAUGUAGCUGUUACGUGGAACUUCGAUGGAACUGAUGAGGUUCACUUGUUCAUGCGUUCAUUCGGUGUUACCUAUGAUCCACGUAAGUGCUACGUAAAAAG
RNAcentral lists this long non-coding RNA (719 nucleotides) under Aedes aegypti (yellow fever mosquito). RNAcentral describes it as "lncRNA AAEL022215". Lineage: Eukaryota; Metazoa; Arthropoda; Insecta; Diptera; Culicidae. The record is from RNAcentral.